This 240-nucleotide ribosomal RNA is filed under the name uncultured Ehrlichia sp. Its description in RNAcentral is "partial 16S ribosomal RNA". It matches the Rfam family "Bacterial small subunit ribosomal RNA", at positions 221 to 478 of the family's 1533-position model. Lineage: Bacteria; Pseudomonadati; Pseudomonadota; Alphaproteobacteria; Rickettsiales; Anaplasmataceae. The record is from RNAcentral.
UUAGAUGAGCCUACGUUAGAUUAGCUAGUUGGUAAGGUAAUGGCUUACCAAGGCUAUGAUCUAUAGCUGGUCUGAGAGGACGAUCAGCCACACUGGAACUGAGAUACGGUCCAGACUCCUACGGGAGGCAGCAGUGGGGAAUAUUGGACAAUGGGCGAAAGCCUGAUCCAGCUAUGCCGCGUGAGUGAAGAAGGCCUUCGGGUUGUAAAACUCUUUCAAUAGGGAAGAUAAUGACGGUAC